CCUACGGGGCGCAGCAGUGAGGAAUAUUGGUCAAUGGGCGGGAGCCUGAACCAGCCAAGCCGCGUGAAGGAAGAAGGCGCCAAGCGUCGUAAACUUCUUUUGUCGGGGAACAAAGGGCGCCACGUGUGGCGUUGUGAGUGUACCCGAAGAAAAAGCAUCGGCUAACUCCGUGCCAGCAGCCGCGGUAAUACGUAGGUGGCAAGCGUUGUCCGGAUUUAUUGGGCGUAAAGCGAGUGCAGGCGGUUCAAUAAGGCUGAU
RNAcentral lists this ribosomal RNA (258 nucleotides) under uncultured bacterium. RNAcentral's name for it is "partial 16S ribosomal RNA". It matches the Rfam family "Bacterial small subunit ribosomal RNA", at positions 338 to 593 of the family's 1533-position model. The record is from RNAcentral.